GCGUUGGUGGUUUAGUGGUAAAAUUGGCCGUUGCCAUGCAAAUAUAUUCAGAUAUUAGCUGCAAUUGUUUCGGCCAGCCCCGGGUUCGAUUCCCGGCCGACGCA
RNAcentral lists this transfer RNA (104 nucleotides) under Saccharata proteae CBS 121410. It matches the Rfam family "tRNA". From Rfam's summary of the family: Transfer RNA (tRNA) molecules are approximately 80 nucleotides in length. Their secondary structure includes four short double-helical elements and three loops (D, anti-codon, and T loops). Lineage: Eukaryota; Fungi; Ascomycota; Dothideomycetes; Botryosphaeriales; Saccharataceae. The record is from Rfam by way of RNAcentral.